This 253-nucleotide ribosomal RNA is filed under the name uncultured bacterium. RNAcentral's name for it is "partial 16S ribosomal RNA". It matches the Rfam family "Bacterial small subunit ribosomal RNA", at positions 524 to 776 of the family's 1533-position model. The record is from RNAcentral.
UACGUGGGGUGCAAACGUUGCUCGGAAUCAUUGGGCGUAAAGCGCACGUAGGCGGCGAUCUAAGUCGGAUGUGAAAGCCCUGGGCUUAACCCAGGAAGUGCAUCCGAAACUAAAUUGCUUGAGUCUCAGAGAGGGUUGCGGAAUUCCCGGUGUAGAGGUGAAAUUCGUAGAUAUCGGGAGGAACACCAGUGGCGAAGGCGGCAACCUGGCUGAAGACUGACGCUGAGGUGCGAAAGCGUGGGGAGCAAACAGG